RNAcentral lists this ribosomal RNA (404 nucleotides) under Verrucomicrobiota bacterium. RNAcentral describes it as "Verrucomicrobia bacterium partial 16S ribosomal RNA". It matches the Rfam family "Bacterial small subunit ribosomal RNA", at positions 355 to 776 of the family's 1533-position model. Lineage: Bacteria; Pseudomonadati; Verrucomicrobiota. The record is from RNAcentral.
UGGGGAAUAUUGCACAAUGGGGGAAACCCUGAUGCAGCGACGCCGCGUGAGCGAUGAAGGCUUUCGAGUCGUAAAGCUCUGUCCUAUGGGAAGAUAAUGACGGUACCAUAGAAGAAAGCCCCGGCUAAUUACGUGCCAGCAGCCGCGGUAAUACGUAAGGGGCGAGCGUUGUCCGGAAUUAUUGGGCUUAAAGGGCAUCUAGGCGGUAAGACAAGUUGAAGGUGAAAACCUGUGGCUCAACCAUAGGCUUGCCUACAAAACUGUUGAACUAGAGUACUGGAAAGGUGGGUGGAACUACACGAGUAGAGAUGAAAGUCGUAGAUAUGUGUAGGAAUGCCGAUGAUGAAGAUAACUCACUGGACAGAAACUGACGCUGAAGUGCGAAAGCUAGGGGAGCAAACAGG